This 683-nucleotide ribosomal RNA is filed under the name uncultured archaeon. RNAcentral's name for it is "bacterial SSU rRNA". It matches the Rfam family "Archaeal small subunit ribosomal RNA", at positions 325 to 1014 of the family's 1478-position model. The record is from RNAcentral.
ACGGGGUGCAGCAGGCGCGAAACCUCCGCAAUACACGAAAGUGUGACGGGGUUACCCAAAGUGUUCUAUUUAGAACUGUGGUAGGUGAGUAAUGUCCCCUACUAGAAAGGAGAGGGCAAGGCUGGUGCCAGCCGCCGCGGUAAAACCAGCUCUUCAAGUGGUCGGGAUAAUUAUUGGGCUUAAAGUGUCCGUAGCCGGUUUAGUAAGUUCCUGGUAAAAUCGGGUAGCUUAACUAUCUAUAUGCUAGGAAUACUGCUAUACUAGAGGGCGGGAGAGGUCUGAGGUACUACAGGGGUAGGGGUGAAAUCUUAUAAUCCUUGUAGGACCACCAGUGGCGAAGGCGUCAGACUGGAACGCGCCUGACGGUGAGGGACGAAGGCCAGGGGAGCGAACCGGAUUAGAUACCCGGGUAGUCCUGGCCGUAAACGAUGCAUACUAGGUGAUGGCACGGCCAUGAGCCGUGUCAGUGCCGUAGGGAAACCGUUAAGUGUGCCGCCUGGGAAGUACGGUCGCAAGGCUAAAACUUAAAGGAAUUGGCGGGGGAGCACCACAAGGGGUGAGGCCUGCGGUUCAAUUGGACUCAACGCCGGAAAACUUACCAGGGGAGACAGCAGUAUGACGGUCAGGUUGACGACCUUACCUAACGAGCUGAGAGGAGGUGCAUGGCCGUCGCCAGUUCGUGC